This 253-nucleotide ribosomal RNA is filed under the name uncultured bacterium. RNAcentral's name for it is "partial 16S ribosomal RNA". It matches the Rfam family "Bacterial small subunit ribosomal RNA", at positions 524 to 776 of the family's 1533-position model. The record is from RNAcentral.
GACAGAGGGUGCAAACGUUGCUCGGAAUCACUGGGCGUAAAGGGCGCGUAGGCGGGUAUGUAAGUCGGGCGUGAAAUCCCUAGGCUCAACCUAGGAACUGCACUCGAAACUGCGUUUCUUGAGUAUCGGAGAGGAAAGCGGAAUUCCUGGUGUAGAGGUGAAAUUCGUAGAUAUCAGGAGGAACACCAGUGGCGAAGGCGGCUUUCUGGACGAUUACUGACGCUGAGACGCGAAAGCGUGGGGAGCAAACAGG